AGAGUUUGAUCAUGGCUCAGAACGAACGUUGGCGGCGUGCUUAACACAUGCAAGUCAAGCGCGAAAUCGGACUUCGGUCUGAGAGUAGAGCGGCGCACGGGUGAGUAACGCGUGAAUAAUCUACCCCGAAGCCUGGGAUAACCACUCGAAAGGGUGGCUAAUACCGGAUAAGCCCCCGCCGUCGUCGGACGGAGAGGGAAAAGUUCAGGCGCUUCGGGAUGAGUUCGCGUCCCAUUAGGUAGUUGGUGAGGUAAAGGCUCACCAAGCCGAAGAUGGGUAGCUGGUCUGAGAGGAUGAUCAGCCACACUGGAACUGAGACACGGUCCAGACUCCUACGGGAGGCAGCAGUGGGGAAUAUUGCGCAAUGGGCGAAAGCCUGACGCAGCAACGCCGCGUGAGUGAUGAAGGCCCUCGGGUCGUAAAGCUCUGUCAGGAGGGACGAAGCAAGUGACGGUACCUCCAAAGGAAGCACUGGCUAACUCCGUGCCAGCAGCCGCGGUAAUACGGAGAGUGCAAACGUUGUUCGGAAUCAUUGGGCGUAAAGCGCGCGUAGGCGGUGUAUCAGGUCGGGUGUGAAAGCCCAGGGCUCACCCUGGAACUGCGCUCGAAACCGGUCGCUAGAGUCCUAAGGGAGAAGCGGACUCUUGGUGUAGGGGUGAAUCGUAGAUNNAGGAGGACACAGAGCAAAGCGGUUCUUGGUAGGUCUACCUAAGUCNAACNUGGUCAACAGGAUUAAUNCCGGNAGCACCCGAACAANUCCNGGGAGAGUUGNCCUUAUGCCAGUACCGUAGU
RNAcentral lists this ribosomal RNA (792 nucleotides) under uncultured delta proteobacterium. RNAcentral's name for it is "bacterial SSU rRNA". It matches the Rfam family "Bacterial small subunit ribosomal RNA", at positions 8 to 852 of the family's 1533-position model. The record is from RNAcentral. Lineage: Bacteria; Deltaproteobacteria.